RNAcentral lists this long non-coding RNA (531 nucleotides) under Hordeum vulgare. RNAcentral describes it as "long non-coding RNA (HVUL_LNC011972)". Lineage: Eukaryota; Viridiplantae; Streptophyta; Magnoliopsida; Poales; Poaceae. The record is from RNAcentral.
GCACGGCGAGGCGCGCACGCGGGAGCUCUUGGUGGCCUGGUCAGCGCAGAGGUGUGGGUGCGCGGCACCGGGUCAUGGAGGUCCGAGGCGAGGCCCGUGCGACGGAUCUGGUGGCUCCGGAACCAGCUAUGGAUGCCGCUGAUGCGUGGAGGUCGGGGCACUACUAAGGUGUUUCACGAUGUCAGCGAGUGGAGGCCUGCAGGGAGGUGCGUCGGCGGGCAGCAAGGGGCGACUGGAGGCGGAGGAUCUGGCACGGGAGGUGCGUUUUGCGGAUCUGGCACCCUCGCGUCGUUCUAAGGGGUGCUGAGGUGCGGGAGGCCGACACAGGGUGGUGUGCCUGGCGCAUCCGGCUGAGGUGGCCGGGUGCUGGGUGAUGUGUGCGCUCAGCGUGCGUUGGGGUGUGCUGGAGGAAUUGGCAGCGAGGAUCUACGUCAUGGUGGCUGCCUGCUACAGCGUGGUGGAGGACUGUCGUGGUGCUUGUGGUCAGGCGGCUGCCUUAGUAGAUCCCAUGGUGAAGGUGCUUAAGCGCCN